GACGAACGCUGGCGGCGUGCUUAACACAUGCAAGUCGAACGGAAAGGCCCUGCUUUUGUGGGGUGCUCGAGUGGCGAACGGGUGAGUAACACGUGAGUAACCUGCCCUUGACUUUGGGAUAACUUCAGGAAACUGGGGCUAAUACCGGAUAGCAGCUCCUGCUGCAUGGUGGGGGUUGGAAAGUUUCGGCGGUUGGGGAUGGACUCGCGGCUUAUCAGCUUGUUGGUGGGGUAGUGGCUUACCAAGGCUUUGACGGGUAGCCGGCCUGAGAGGGUGACCGGCCACAUUAGGACUGAGAUACGGCCCAGACUCCUACGGGAGGCAGCAGUGGGGAAUAUUGCACAAUGAGCGGAAGCCUGAUGCAGCAGCGCCGCGUGCGGGAUGACGGCCUUCGGGUUAUAAACCGCUUUCGCCUGUGACGAAGCGUGAGUGACGGUAAUGGGUAAAGAAGCACCGGCUAACUACGUG
RNAcentral lists this ribosomal RNA (468 nucleotides) under uncultured bacterium. Its description in RNAcentral is "partial 16S ribosomal RNA". It matches the Rfam family "Bacterial small subunit ribosomal RNA", at positions 28 to 507 of the family's 1533-position model. The record is from RNAcentral.